Molecule: ribosomal RNA, 725 nt
Filed under: uncultured bacterium
Lineage: Bacteria
Description: bacterial SSU rRNA
Rfam family: Bacterial small subunit ribosomal RNA
Source: RNAcentral
GCAGUCGAACGAGAAAUCCUGGGUAACCGGGAGAGUAAAGUGGCGCACGGGUGAGUAACGCGUGGGUAACCUACCCUUGAAUUGGGGAUAACCCCGCGAAAGCGGGGCUAAUACCGAAUAAUAUUCCAGUUCCCAAGGGGAUUGGAAUCAAAGAUGGCCUCUGCAUGCAAGCUAUCGUUUAAGGAUGGGCCCGCGUACCAUUAGCUUGUUGGUAGGGUAAUGGCCUACCAAGGCAACGAUGGUUAGCUGGUCUGAGAGGAUGGCCAGCCACACUGGAACCGAGACACGGUCCAGACUCCUACGGGAGGCAGCAGUGGGGAAUCUUGCGCAAUGGGGGAAACCCUGACGCAGCAACGCCGCGUGGGUGAUGAAGGCCUUCGGGUCGUAAAGCCCUGUCAGGUGGGAAGAAACAUGCCGAUGUAAAUAACAUCGACAAUUGACGGUACUACCGGAGGAAGCACCGGCUAACUCCGUGCCAGCAGCCGCGGUAAUACGGAGGGUGCAAGCGUUGUUCGGAAUUAUUGGGCGUAAAGCGCGUGUAGGCGGUUGGGCAAGUCAGAUGUGAAAGCCUUCCGCUCAACGGAAGAAGUGCAUUUGAAACUGCUCGGCUAGAGUACGGGAGAGGAGAGUGGAAUUCCCGGUGUAGAGGUGAAAUUCGUAGAUAUCGGGAGGAACACCAGUGGCGAAGGCGGCUCUCUGGUCCGAUACUGACGCUGAGACGCGAA